This 771-nucleotide long non-coding RNA is filed under the name Nicotiana tabacum (common tobacco). RNAcentral describes it as "long non-coding RNA (NTAB_LNC000564)". The record is from RNAcentral. Lineage: Eukaryota; Viridiplantae; Streptophyta; Magnoliopsida; Solanales; Solanaceae.
UCCAAAAUUAUUACAAAUAACCCAUUGUGAUAUCAAGAAGCUGCUCUAUGAAGUCCUAUCGACUCUCUCAAGGUAGCUGCUUUCAUGAGAAUCUGUAUGAUACAUCCCCGAAAAGCUUUUAAGCAAUCCAAUUCUGGUAUUGAAUAUCCAACUUUCAUUCAUUGUCAGACAUAUGUGUUUUCAAGUGUUUCACAAAGUUUUCUGGUAUAGUUAAAAAAGAAUUCAGUUCAAACAUGUAUUCCUUAGUGCACAUAUAUAUAUCUAUACGAUAUAACACGAAAUAUCAAGUUCAUGAACUAUUUAGCAGUAUAUUGGAGCAUCCAAUAUUGGAACAAAAAAAUAAAUAACAACAGGGACAAAGCGAUAAUACUUUGCAGAAGAAUAAAACUAUCAGCACAACAUGUGAUGAAUGUUAUUUGGACAAACACACCAUGAAAAACUAUUCAUAGUUCGAUAAUGUGAAAUAAAAUGCGAAAAUUAUACCUCUUACCGUUAAAAAAGUGUUACUCCUUUCCCUCUUGAGUACCUAUGCUUUCUUCAAAAAUCUGUCCAUCAAAAUUGCAAGGUUAUUAUAUUCCAACUAAAUGAAAUUGAAUGCAUUAAAUUUAAGCAAUUACAACCACACAUCCAGAUUAAAUCUUUGAGGAAAGAAGAACGUGAAUUCAAAUGUCCUUUUGUGAAAAAUCAAAUCUUGUUUUGUGUGAUUAUGUCACGCCAACUAUAAAACUCAAAACUCCUCACCAUCUCCAUAAUUCCUCAAAUAUUUAUCUC